AAUAGAUACCCAGGUAGUCCACGCCGUAAACGGUGGGUACUAGGUGUGGGUUUCCUUCCUUGGGAUCCGUGCCGUAGCUAACACAUUAAGUACCCCGCCUGGGGAGUACGGCCGCAAGGCUAAAACUCAAAGAAAUUGACGGGGGCCCGCACAAGCGGCGGAGCAUGUGGAUUAAUUCGAUGCAACGCGAAGAACCUUACCUGGGUUUGACAUGCACAGGACGCCUGUAGAGAUAUGGGUUCCCUUGUGGUCUGUGUGCAGGUGGUGCAUGGCUGUCGUCAGCUCGUGUCGUGAGAUGUUGGGUUAAGUCCCGCAACGAGCGCAACCCUUGUCCUAUGUUGCCAGCGGGUGAUGCCGGGGACUCGUAGGAGACUGCCGGGGUCAACUCGGAGGAAGGUGGGGAUGACGUCAAGUCAUCAUGCCCCUUAUGUCCAGGGCUUCACACAUGCUACAAUGGCCGGUACAAAGGGCUGCGAUGCCGUGAGGUGGAGCGAAUCCUUGAAAGCCGGUCUCAGUUCGGAUCGGGGU
This 528-nucleotide ribosomal RNA is filed under the name uncultured bacterium. Its description in RNAcentral is "bacterial SSU rRNA". It matches the Rfam family "Bacterial small subunit ribosomal RNA", at positions 777 to 1304 of the family's 1533-position model. The record is from RNAcentral.